Molecule: small RNA, 767 nt
Filed under: Pongo abelii (Sumatran orangutan)
Lineage: Eukaryota; Metazoa; Chordata; Mammalia; Primates; Hominidae
Description: processed transcript
Source: RNAcentral
AGACAAUAUGGCCGGGCGCGGUGGCUCACGCCUAUAACCCCAACACUUUGGGAGGCCGAGGAGGGUGGAUCACCUGAGGUUGGGAGUUCGAGACCAACCUGAUCAACAUGGAGAAACCCCAUCUCUACUAAAAAUACAAAAUUAGCCGGGAGUGUUGGCGCAUGCCUGUAAUCCCAGCUACUCAGGAGGCUGAGGCAGGAGAAUCACUUGAACCCGGGAGGUGGAGGUUGUGGUGAGCCGAGAUCGCGCCAUUGCACUCCAGUCUGGGCAACAAGAGCGAAACUCCGUCUCAAAAAAAAAAGGACACAAUAUCUUGGCGUUGGAAUGGCCCUUAUGAGUACUAUAUGAGUGACCUUUCUGGCUUCUGGGUUAUUGUUGAAGAUGAAAUCCACUGAGGAGGGAAGUCCGGCACCCUGUGUGCCAGUCCAGAACUGGCCCAUGUGUAGACCCCCUGAAAAUCAUAUGGGCUUGGAUUUGGAUAUUCUCAACAGAAAGGGUUAAAGGCUGAUGGUACCUAAAGCCUGGUACUUGAAUUUUGAUCAAGAUAAGCUGCCUUAAGUUCUCUUCAUUACACAAAUGAUCCUAGGUAAUUGAUAGAUCCUGUGGUUCAACUGGAUUUCUAGAUAGAAGCUGGAUUCAUGUGAUGCCAGAGGAGUAGAAUUUCAAGAGACUGAAACCAGAUCUGAGUUUCACUGUUCCAGUCUGGACCUCUUUGGUGCUGUAAAUCCUGGAUAUACGGUAGAUGAGUACUGCGUUUUUCUUUUAUG